This 443-nucleotide long non-coding RNA is filed under the name Androctonus crassicauda. The record is from RNAcentral. Lineage: Eukaryota; Metazoa; Arthropoda; Arachnida; Scorpiones; Buthidae.
GGUGUAGUAGCCUCCUUAACGGCUUCAUUCUGCAGUCGAGUUCUGAAGUCGUAGGCUAUGAUCCGACGGACAUGUUGGCUGGGGCUGUGAGAAGGGUGGGAGGAUCGCCUGUGUUCCCGACACAAUGGCAGUUUUGUGGGGUCUCGGCCCCGUUUGCUCCCCGCCUCUUUGGAUGUGUAGAGGCGCAUGGAGCCCCGAUUGGGAUGCGACCUAUGGUUGAUGGGGCGUCAUCGCCAUUGUAUGCGCUGGAGGGGGCCAUCGCCGGGUGGGCUGCUCCGUGUCUGCAAGACUGUGAAUGUACCGUGGGUUCGUCUUUGGAGUUCUUGGAUGGGUUACUGGAGAGGGGUCCGCUCCCCAAUGAGUCCUGUGCCGUAUUGGAUUGCGAUUCUCUGUAUCCGUCGUUGGAGCAGGCCCCGGCUGGCGUCAUGCUGUAUAGGUUUCUA